GCAGUUGGAAUGGUUCAUCUCGCUGACUUUGGCCCUUCCUAGACGUGGAGGGUGCGGUCUGUGAUUUUGGCUUGCGUGUCUCCCGGGACCAGGGGUGCCGUGCAGCUUUGCACGUGCUACUUCACCACUGAUGCAUCUUGUUGGGGGAAGCAUCUGUUGAGAUCUUUUGCCCGUUGCUUCGUUCCAGAAUAUGAAAUUGCUGCAGCAUGGUUUCUUGAAGAAGCUACAAUUGUGCACCGAGUCGCCUUUGCACCUUUGUCAAAAGUCUGAACCCUGCAUGGUGGUGGGUGCCUGCGGUCCCAGCUACUUGGGAGGCUGAGGUGGGAGGAUCCCUAGAGCCUGGGAAUUUUGAGGCUGCAGCGAGCAGAGAUGGCACCACUGCACUCCAGCCUGGGCAACAAAGUGAGACCCUGCCUGAAAAAAAGUCAUCAGUCUGUGUGUGUAAGCUGAUUUCUGGACCGUUUUCUUUUGGAUCUACUUGAAUAUUUUUACACCAGUAUCACUCAAGUUUUGCUUACGCUGGUCUCAUAUGAAUUCUUAGAAUGUUAGCUCUUCAAUUGUGUUCUUUUUCAGGAUUGUUUUAGCUCUUCUCCUCCUCUGCUUUUCCAUAUGUGUUUUAGAAUGGACCUGUGAAUUUCUAUAAAUGCAGGGAGAGUUGACAUCUUAACAGUAUUGAACUUACUAAUCCACGAACCUUGGAUGUCCCUGUUUAUUCAGGUUUUCUUCCACUUCUUCCAAGGAUUUUUCACUCUUUCAAUUUGGAGGUCUUUCACAUCUUUUGUCAGAUUGACCUCUAAGUAUUGCCUAUUUUUAUACAGUUAGGAAGUGGUAUUUUUAAUGUCAAUAUCUGAUAGUUGAUUACCAUUUUAUAGAAACACAAUGGACUUUGUAUAUCAGUCUUGUUAUUCCACAACCUUGUUAAUCUCACUGAGUAGUUCUUGCAGGUUUUUCUUUUGUUGUUGAUUCCAUCGGGUUAGAUGGUCACGUUAUCUGUAGAUAAGAUUGUUUUCUUUUUCCUUUCUCGCCUGUAUGGCUUUUAUUUCUUUUGGGGGCCUAAUUGCACGAGCAGGAACCUCCAGGUUAAUGUUGGACGGAGGUGAUGAGGGCAGACAUCCCAGCCUCCUUUCUGUUCUUAGUGAGAAACUGCUCAGUCUUCCGCCAUCGGUUGUGGGGUUUUCAUAGAUAUCCUGUAUUAGGUUAGGGAAGUUCCCUCUAUUCCUAAUUUACUGAGUGAUGUUUUUUAAACAAGUCAGGAACCGACGUUGGAUUUUUCAAAUGCUUUUUCUGCACUGUUAAAAGAAAAACCGUAGACAAAUUAAAUUUAACAGAGUUUAAUUAAGCAAAGAACCACUCGCUAAUGGGGCAGCCCCCAAACCAAAAUAGGUUCAGAGAGGCUCUGGUGCUGCUGUGUGGCUGAAGAUUGGUGGACAGAAAAAGGAAAGGAGGCACAGAAAACGGAAGCAAAGCACAGAAACUGCCAGAGGGGCUGCAGCUCCAUGCUUGCCUUAUCUGAACACGGUUGGAAUGGCCGGCACCCUUGAUGAGCGGAAACCUGGCAAUCGUUAGCUAGGGAACAAUUUGCCUUCAAAAAAGAUAACUCUUAGGUGAAACAAGGCAGAAAAUGUAUAUAUGAAAAGCUAUUUAAGCUGAGACUUUCAGCUUAAAUACUGUACCAUCAUCAUUUGCUCAACCAAGAAAAAAGCAAGGCCCAGUGAAGACAACGUGGCCAGGAAAAACACGUUAAACAAAGGGUGUUGCUCUGUCACCCAGGCUGGAGUGCAGUGGUGCCAUCAUAGCUCACUGCAAUUGUUACAGGAGAGGGGUCCUGAUCCAGACCCCAAGAGAGAGUUCUUGGAUUUGGAUCCUGUGCAAGAAAGAAUUCAGGUGACUUAGAAUGCCUGACCAUGUGGGAAUGCAGCCGAGUAGGACUCAGUCUCAUUUUACCCAGCCCCUGUUCAAGAUGGAGUCGCUCUGGUUCACACGCCUCAGACACAGCCUCUGCCUCCCGCCUCAGCCUCCUAAGCAGCUGGGACUACAGUGCAUACCUGAUUUUCUCGACCUCUUUUAUGAAAUAUCCCCGCCAGACUUCCUCGACCGAGCCACCCCCAGGUUCCCGUGCAUACACAACAUUGCGGGAUAGGUAUCGUGGAAUGAGGGUCCGUGUUACGACCUACAGAAGAUGUGGCUGUGAAGUCAGGAGUCACAGUCUCAGAGUUGACUGCGCUGCCUCGUAGCUGUGUGACCUUCAGGAUUUUUUUCAACCCCCUCUGAGCUUCAGUUUGCUCUCUGGGAAGACUCCAAGGAUAAGAGCAUCUACCUCCUCAGCCUGCUGUGAGAGUUACGGGGCCAGGGCCAAAGACGCUUUGUCCGACUGCUGGUCUGCGGGGAGCUCUAAAUAUGAAUCUGCUACAUCACCUUCACUUUUGAAUUCGGCUCUGAUGUUCCAAAUGUUCUUGGCCGUUCCUUCGUGUUUCUCCUGUACGAAUUUCAGCUUCUUUUUGCCAAGUAUCUCCCCACCCCCGCCCACCCCCACCCCCAAAUAAACUCACUAGAAUGUUGGUUGAAAAUCUGAUAAGGCUACACAUUGAUUUGGAAAGAAAUGAUUUUUUGUGAGAGUCAAACUCCCUACCCACUUUUUUUCUUUUGUUUUUUCAAAAGUUUGUUUCUUACAUUUGUCAUUCAAGUUUGUCAUUUUCUUGCUACAGACUCCAAACACUUUUCAAGAGGACCGUCACUAAGUACUUUAUACUCUUGUUUGGGUUUUUUUAGAGUAAAAAAUGUUCAAAUUCUACUUUAUCUUCUAGCUGGUGGUUGUUGGAAGAUAAUUUUAAAAACUGAUUUAAAAUAUGUAUUUUGCAUCUG
Pan troglodytes (chimpanzee) is the source of this 2862-nucleotide long non-coding RNA. RefSeq lists it as uncharacterized. The transcript has 6 exons. Lineage: Eukaryota; Metazoa; Chordata; Mammalia; Primates; Hominidae. The record is from RefSeq and is a predicted model, not a curated record.